This 245-nucleotide ribosomal RNA is filed under the name uncultured Desulfomicrobium sp. RNAcentral's name for it is "partial 16S ribosomal RNA". It matches the Rfam family "Bacterial small subunit ribosomal RNA", at positions 524 to 768 of the family's 1533-position model. Lineage: Bacteria; Pseudomonadati; Thermodesulfobacteriota; Desulfovibrionia; Desulfovibrionales; Desulfomicrobiaceae. The record is from RNAcentral.
UACGGAGGGUGCAAGCGUUAUUCGGAAUUACUGGGCGUAAAGCGCACGUAGGCGGCCUUGUAAGUCAGGGGUGAAAUCCCACGGCUCAACCGUGGAACUGCCUUUGAAACUGCAGGGCUUGAAUCCUGGAGAGGGUGGCGGAAUUCCUGGUGUAGGAGUGAAAUCCGUAGAUAUCAGGAGGAACACCGGUGGCGAAGGCGGCCACCUGGACAGGCAUUGACGCUGAGGUGCGAAAGUGUGGGGAG